GGCUGGUCCAAAUGCAGUGGUGUUUACAACUAAUUGAUCACAAGCAGUUACAGAUUCCUUUGUUCCUUCUCCACUCCCACUGCUUCACUUGACUAGCCUGAA
Molecule: unclassified non-coding RNA, 102 nt
Organism: Otolemur garnettii (small-eared galago)
Lineage: Eukaryota; Metazoa; Chordata; Mammalia; Primates; Galagidae
Rfam family: Y RNA
About the family: Y RNAs are components of the Ro ribonucleoprotein particle (Ro RNP), in association with Ro60 and La proteins.
Source: Ensembl